AUGUUUAGUACUUCAGGUGCUUCUCUAGCGUAUAAUGUAAAUCUCGUAGCGGAUCAAUUCCAACGAGCCUUUCAAACUAGUACUUUUUGUAAUCGACUCUAUAGCUUCUUCAAUAAACGUUGGUUCUUCGAUCAAGUUUUGAAUGACUUUCUAGUCAGAUCGUUUCUGCGUUUCGGAUAUUCAGUCUCAUUCGAAGCUUUAGACAAGGGUGCUAUUGAGAUAUUGGGCCCUUAUGGUAUCUCGUACACAUUCCGACGAUUGGCCAAGCGAAUAAGUCAACUUCAAAGUGGAUCUGUUGUGCGAAGAGUGCGUUAUGAACCGUGGCCGCCUACCUGCUUUGGUUGGUGGGGGCGGCUCCUCCGUUGUGGGUAA
Molecule: ribosomal RNA, 372 nt
Filed under: Triticum aestivum (bread wheat)
Lineage: Eukaryota; Viridiplantae; Streptophyta; Magnoliopsida; Poales; Poaceae
Description: partial small subunit ribosomal RNA
Source: RNAcentral